RNAcentral lists this long non-coding RNA (347 nucleotides) under Calidris pugnax (ruff). RNAcentral's name for it is "lncRNA (ENSCPUG00000001612.1)". The record is from RNAcentral. Lineage: Eukaryota; Metazoa; Chordata; Aves; Charadriiformes; Scolopacidae.
UAAUGAUACCUGACUGUAAGAGUAUGGUGCUCUCCUUUGUAGGUGGGAAAUGAAGAAAGCAGAGGGCAAGGCUGAGGCACGGUCAACCCAAAUUCCAGAGACCAGGCAAAUUGUUUCUGCUCUCAGAUUUGAAGAUCCCUCCCAAGGAAGAAAAGAACUGCAUAAGCUAGAAGAGGCAGUAUCAUUCAGUGAGGUACUUCAUGGCUCAGUGGGGAGGCAUGCUGACUUGCAGCAGUGGAAGUGCUAACACGUCCUGGGGAUGGUGUCAUAGAGCAGCCGGCACGUGCAGAGUGUCAGCCGCUGUGUUCCUGCGUGCACGUGUGGGACUCCAUCACCACCCCCGGCGC